UCUCUUUCUAUGACAUAGACUGACCAGGUGAAACUGAGGAUACAAAACACUCUCUUUCUAUGACAUAGACUGACCAGGUGAAUCCAGGAGAAGCCAUGAUCCCUAAUGUCACUUGUUAAAUUCACUUCAUUCAGUGUAGAUUAAGGGAGGAGACAGUUUAAAGAAGGAUUUUUAAGCCUUGAGACAAUUGAGACAUGGAUUGUGUAUGUGUACCAUUCAGAGGAUGAAUGGGCAAGACAAAAUAUUUAAGUGUCGUUGAACGCAGUUUGGUAGUAGGUGCCAGAGGCACCGGUUUGUGUCAAGAACUGCAACGCUGCUGGGUUUUUCACGCUCAACAGUUUCCCUUGUGCAUCAAGAAUGGUCCACCACCCAGAGGUUAUCCAACCAACUUGACACAACUGUGGGAAGCAUUGGAGUGAACAUGGGCCAGCAUCCCUGUGGAACGCUUACAACACCUCGUAGAGUCAACAUGGGCCAGCAUCCCUGUGGAACGCUUACAACACCUUGUAGAGUCCGUGCCCUGACGAAUUGAGGCUGUUCUGAGGGCAAAAGGGGGAGGUGCAACUCAAUAUUUUGUACACUCAGUGUAUGUGAUUGUAUACAAAUGUAAGCAAGGUUUGAAAUUGUUAUGUUUUAGUCAAAUGUUAUAUCUGGAUUGGCUUCCAAUCAAUUUUACAGUCUACAAAUUAUUUGUAAUUAUGUUCCAGCCCCCUGACCAUCCACUCAAGAAAAAAUCUUCCCGCGGCUGAAUUUAGUCGAUGAUCCCUGUCCUAUCGAGACAGCCGAAGAACCCUUUUAGGAUCAAGAAAGCACUUUUACAUUUAAAAAAAUAUAUAUAUAAGAGCAUCGUUUUCUGAGGAAGCCUGUGUUUUUUUACAGGCUGUAAACCUAUUGAUGCUGAUAGGUUAUGCUGAUAGGUUGUGCUGAUAGGAUAGUGUCUCUGAGGGGUUGCGUAUCCAUUAGACUACAGUAAGACAUCACAGCUAAGAAAGACCACGUUAAUUGUUUUCAAAAUUAUCCGGUGGAAGGUUGUACUGACACAAAGACCCCAGGAGCAAAAGUCAGAUAGUGUACCAAGAUGGCACCAUAUUCCCUGUAUCGGUACUACUUUCGACAAGAGCCCUAUGACAAUUGAGAUACAUCCGCAGUCAGUGAUUCGUCCGUGAUGUGAAUGCGUGGCGGCCAUUGGUGACGAGCUGGAAAAGAAUCAGCUAUAUAAGUGAAACAAAAGUUUUUGUUCGUCACAACUUGCGACAUGGAAGAAUUGCAUAUGCAGGUGUGAACAAGUAGCAACAGCCUGUGCCGUUGGUUGUUUUCUUUCUCGUGAUGCUGUGUGUGUUCCAUCACUGUGACAGUGUGUGUGAUGGUGUGUGUGGGGUUGACAGUAAACAUCAGAACAGGCCUCACGGUUUUGCACACACACACACACACACACACACACACACACACAUGCACACACAAACACACGCACACAUAAGAAUACACAUACACCCUCAGAGGGCUGGAGAGAAAGUAAGGGCUUUGACAACACUACUCCUCCUAGACUAACAUUAUAACACCAUGUUUCAUUACAGCUACUCCUCCUAGACUAGCAUUACAACACCAUGUUUCAUUACAGCUACUCCUCCUAGACUAACAUUACAACACCAUGGUUCAUUACAGCUACUCCUCCUAGACUAGAUUUACAACACCAUGUUUCAUUACAGCUACUCCUCCUAGACUAGCAUUACAACACCAUGUUUCAUUACAGCUACUCCUCCUAGACUAGCAUUACAACACCAUGGUUCAUUACAGCUACUCCUGCUAGACUAGCAUUACAAC
Long non-coding RNA from Oncorhynchus tshawytscha (Chinook salmon), 1821 nucleotides. The record is from Ensembl. NCBI's taxonomy places the organism in Eukaryota, Metazoa, Chordata, Actinopteri, Salmoniformes, Salmonidae.